AGAGCGAACGCUGGCGGCAGGCCUAACACAUGCAAGUCGAGCGGCCGUAGCAAUACGGCAGCGGCAGACGGGAGAGUAACACGUGGGAACGCGCCCUUCGGUUCGGAAUAACUCAGGGAAACUUGAGCUAAUACCGGAUACGCCCUUACGGGGAAAGAUUUAUUGCCGAAGGAACGGCCCGCGUCCGAUUAGCUUGUUGGUGAGGUAAUGGCUCACCAAGGCGACGAUCGGUAGCUGGUCUGAGAGGAUGACCAGCCUCACUGGGACUGAGACACGGCCCAGACUCCUACGGGAGGCAGCAGUGGGGAAUAUUGGACAAUGGGCGCAAGCCUGAUCCAGCCAUGCCGCGUGGAUGAUGAAGGCCUUAGGGUUGUAAAGUCCUUUUAACGGGGAAGAUAAUGACGGUACCCGUAGAAUAAGCCCCGGCUAACUUCGCGCCAGCAGCCGC
RNAcentral lists this ribosomal RNA (448 nucleotides) under uncultured bacterium. Its description in RNAcentral is "SSU rRNA". It matches the Rfam family "Bacterial small subunit ribosomal RNA", at positions 26 to 518 of the family's 1533-position model. The record is from RNAcentral.